CAAUAGCGUAUAUUAAAGUUGUUGCAGUUAAAAAGCUCGUAGUUGGAUUUCUGGCUGAAGCGACCGGUCGGGCGUUGAUUCGUCUGCACUGGAGUCGGUUUUGGCCAUCCUCUAGGAAAGUGCGUCUGGUAUUAAGUUAUCGGGCGUAUGAUCCUGGUCUUUUACUGUGAAAAAAUUAGAGUGUUUAAAGCAGGCCUUCGCCUUGAAUACAUUAGCAUGGAAUAAUAAGAUAGGACUUUGGUCUAUUUUGUUGGUUUGCAGACCGAAGUAAUGAUUAAUAGGGAUAGUUGGGGGUAUUUAUAUUCCGAUGUCAGAGGUGAAAUUCUUAGAUUUUCGGAAGAUAAACUUAUGCGAAAGCAUUUACCAAGGAUGUUUUCAUUAA
This 382-nucleotide ribosomal RNA is filed under the name uncultured eukaryote. RNAcentral's name for it is "partial 18S ribosomal RNA". It matches the Rfam family "Eukaryotic small subunit ribosomal RNA", at positions 592 to 976 of the family's 1831-position model. The record is from RNAcentral.